AAUGGGUAGAUUAGCUAUUAAAAGUAAAAAUAGUUCAUUAUCAAUCAUCACCCUCAAUAGUAAGAAACAAAGAUCUUCCUUUCCUGCUAUUUGCAGCAGAAAUUUUUAACUCCGCGUGGCAUAAUAGUGUGGAGCAAGCUCAGUCAACCAUAAAUAAUCGAUUCUAGUUAUGUUGCGGAUAUACUUGUUAGAGGUUUGGACUAGUUCAUUGAAAAUUAUGCAAUCUGCCUUUGACUGGAAUAGUACAGAAGAAGGGUGAAUCUGCACUACCUGUCCACUUGCCAAAGCCCUGUAUGUUCCCUCAGGCUGCUUCAAAGCUGCAUUAACGAAAAAUGAAGCAGCAAGGCAUCUGCGGAAUUGAACCAGGUCAUCUCCACAGGACGAAAUACGAAGACCCAUUUGUUCAACAUGCCCUCGAAUUUGACUGUGAAUGUCACAAGCAUGCCUCAGGGAUCGACUAUUAAUAAAAUUUUCUUUGCACCAUUUUCUCAGAAAUUUUUCAUUUUUUCCAUGGAGAUUCUUUUUAUUACCAACUUCCAUAUUUCUUUUCUCCAAAAGUCUAUCUACUAUAUACGUUAACUAAAGUAAGAUGGUCUCCAUCUGGACUUGCAAAGCACUUCAUUGCAGCUAUCGCCUCAUCCUUCUUCUCGCGAGGGGCAUAAAAAAUAGAUUCCCCAGAGAGCAUCGCAACAGUUAUCAACAUUUCCUUCCAAGCAGUUGAACUGACUAGCUAGGAUGAGCGCUUUGGAAUAAAUAGGAUCUAAGGGAAGCCGAGCCAUUUGAUGCCCAAUAGGUUCUGACAACUUACAGUCAUCUGUCAAAGCACCAAGCAGAAACAAAUGCUCCAACGAUUUGAUGAUAGCUGCCCUAGAUGGCUUUUCCAUGAAAUCAAAUCUAAUGAUAUCAUCAACACCUAGAGCCUUCAGUUGCAAGAUGACAUUUGAGAGGUUGCACCGCUUGAUCUCUGGCCUUGUUGAAUCCUCAAAUUUCUCAAAUUCACGCUCUGGAUAGAGACGAAAGCACUUCCCAGGUCCUUCACGCCCUGCACGUCCACUCCUUUGAAGAGCCUGCGCUUUUGAAGUUGGAACAAUUAUCAAUGAUUCCAUUCCUUUGACUGGAUCAUAGGAACGUGCUUUUACAAAUCCUGGGUCUAUAACAUAUUUGAUUCCAGGUAUCGUCACUGACGUCUCAGCAAUAUUUGUGGCCAAUAUUACCUUACGAUGCCCAGCUGAAGCUGGCAUGAAAACCCGCAUCUGCUGCUCCGAUGGAAGGGAUGAAAACAUGGGGACAAUUAACAACUUUCGAUUGGCUUCAGGUAAUUUAUGAAGUUGUUCUUGCACAAGUCUUUCAACAGAUUCAAUCUCUUCUUGCCCAGUUAGAAAUACAAGUAUGUCACCAGGGGCCUCCUCCAAAUGAAUCUGGAAUAUAGUAACCAAGGUCGCAUCAAGAUAAUCUGGCUCAGGAUGAAGAGUAUACAGUAUAUCAACUUGAUGUUGGCGCCCUUCAAUAUGAAUAGCUCUGGCACCACCAAAGUACUCAGAGAAAACACGAGCAUCCAAGCUGGCGGACAUUAUGAUUAGCUUUAACGGAGGGAAUUUUCUACCAUGGCAUUGCCUGAGAAAACUAGUACAUUGAGUACCAGUUCCUGUCCCCUUCAUUGCCCUAUUGUUUGACUUCUUGUCAUCCAUAUUAUCAUGGUCCUUCAUGAAGUUUGACCUCACAUUUUGCACACUUUUUAGCAAUCCUAGCAAAACGUCAGUGUGGACUGAUCUCUCAUGAGCUUCAUCCACAAUGAUGACUGAAUAUCUAGAGAGGUAAGGAUCCAACAAUGCUUCCCUGAGUAGCAAUCCAUCAGUCAUGUACUUAAUCCUUG
This 1873-nucleotide unclassified non-coding RNA is filed under the name Hevea brasiliensis (rubber tree). The record is from RNAcentral. Lineage: Eukaryota; Viridiplantae; Streptophyta; Magnoliopsida; Malpighiales; Euphorbiaceae.